ACACGACUCUCGGCAAUGGAUAUCUCGGCUCUCGCAUCGAUGAAGAGCGCAGCGAAAUGCGAUACGUGGUGCGAAUUGCAGAAUCCCGCGAACCAUCGAGUCUUUGAACGCAAGUUGCGCCCGAGGCCAACCGGCCAAGGGCACGUCUGCCUGGGCGUCGAUC
RNAcentral lists this ribosomal RNA (163 nucleotides) under Dendrobium hancockii. RNAcentral describes it as "5.8S ribosomal RNA". It matches the Rfam family "5.8S ribosomal RNA". From Rfam's summary of the family: 5.8S ribosomal RNA (5.8S rRNA) is a component of the large subunit of the eukaryotic ribosome. It is transcribed by RNA polymerase I as part of the 45S precursor that also contains 18S and 28S rRNA. Lineage: Eukaryota; Viridiplantae; Streptophyta; Magnoliopsida; Asparagales; Orchidaceae. The record is from RNAcentral.